CCUACGGGAGGCAGCAGUGGGGAAUAUUGGGCAAUGGGCGCAAGCCUGACCCAGCAACGCCGCGUGAAGGAUGAAGGCCUUCGGGUUGUAAACUUCUUUUCUCAGGGACGAAGAAAGUGACGGUACCUGAGGAAUAAGCCACGGCUAACUACGUGCCAGCAGCCGCGGUAAUACGUAGGUGGCAAGCGUUAUCCGGAUUUACUGGGUGUAAAGGGCGUGUAGGCGGGGAAGCAAGGCAGAUGUGAAAACCACGGGCUCAACCUGUGGCCUGCAUUUGAAACUGUUUUUCUUGAGUACAGGAGAGGCAGGCGGAAUUCCUGGUGUAGCGGUGAAAUGCGUAGAUAUUAGGAGGAACACCAGUGGCGAAGGCAGUCUACUGGACAGCAACUGACGCUGAGGCGCGAAAGCGUGGGGAGCAAACAGGAUUAGAUACCCGAGUAGUC
RNAcentral lists this ribosomal RNA (443 nucleotides) under uncultured bacterium. Its description in RNAcentral is "partial 16S ribosomal RNA". It matches the Rfam family "Bacterial small subunit ribosomal RNA", at positions 338 to 795 of the family's 1533-position model. The record is from RNAcentral.